This 274-nucleotide ribosomal RNA is filed under the name uncultured bacterium. RNAcentral's name for it is "partial 16S ribosomal RNA". It matches the Rfam family "Bacterial small subunit ribosomal RNA", at positions 523 to 796 of the family's 1533-position model. The record is from RNAcentral.
AUACAGAGGGUGCGAGCGUUAAUCGGAUUUACUGGGCGUAAAGCGUGCGUAGGUGGUUGGGUAAGUCAGAUGUGAAAGCCCCGGGCUUAACCUGGGAACUGCAUUUGAUACUGCCUAGCUAGAGUUUGGUAGAGGGAAGUGGAAUUCCAGGUGUGGCGGUGAAAUGCGUAGAUAUCUGGAGGAACACCAGUGGCGAAAGCGGCUUCCUGGACCGAAACUGACACUGAGGCACGAAAGCGUGGGGAGCAAACAGGAUUAGAAACCCCGGUAGUCC